ACGGGGUGCAGCAGGCGCGAAAACUUCGCAAUGUGCGAAAGCACGACGAGGGAAUCCCAAGUGCUGGCUCUUUUGAGUCAGCUGUUUUUAUGUCUAAAAAGCAUAGAGAGUAAGAGCUGGGUAAGACGGGUGCCAGCCGCCGCGGUAAUACCUGCAGCUCAAGUGGUGGCCGCUAUUAUUGGGCCUAAAACGUCCGUAGCCGGUUUAUUAAAUGCCUAGGUAAAUUGUGUGGCUUAACCAUACGAAUUCUGGGUAGACUGGUAAACUUGAGACCGGGAGAAGCUAGAGGUACUCCUGGGGUAGAGGUGAAAUUCUGUAAUCCUAGGGGGACCACCAGUGGCGAAGGCGUCUAGCUAGAACGGGUUUGACGGUGAGGGACGAAGCCCUGGGGCGCAAACGGGAUUAGAUACCCCGGUAGUCCAGGGUGUAAACGCUGCUUGCUUGAUGUUGGUUGGGCUCCGAGCCCAAUCAGUGUCGGAGAGAAGUUGUUAAGCAAGCUGCCUGGGAAGUACGAUCGCAAGACUGAAACUUAAAGGAAUUGGCGGGGGAGCAC
This 553-nucleotide ribosomal RNA is filed under the name uncultured archaeon. RNAcentral describes it as "bacterial SSU rRNA". It matches the Rfam family "Archaeal small subunit ribosomal RNA", at positions 325 to 879 of the family's 1478-position model. The record is from RNAcentral.